This 513-nucleotide ribosomal RNA is filed under the name uncultured bacterium. RNAcentral's name for it is "bacterial SSU rRNA". It matches the Rfam family "Bacterial small subunit ribosomal RNA", at positions 15 to 518 of the family's 1533-position model. The record is from RNAcentral.
GAUUAUGGCUCAGGAUGAACGCUAGCUACAGGCUUAACACAUGCAAGUCGAGGGGCAGCAGGAAUCUAGCUUGCUAGAUUGCUGGCGACCGGCGCACGGGUGAGUAACGCGUAUCCAACCUUCCCCAUAGUAGAGGAUAGCCCGGCGAAAGUCGGAUUAAUACUCUAUGUUGUAUUUUGAGGACAUCUGACGAAUACCAAAGAUUGAUCGCUAUGGGAUGGGGAUGCGUCUGAUUAGGUUGUUGGCGGGGUAACGGCCCACCAAGCCGACGAUCAGUAGGGGUUCUGAGAGGAAGGUCCCCCACAUUGGUACUGAGACACGGACCAAACUCCUACGGGAGGCAGCAGUGAGGAAUAUUGGUCAAUGGGCGAGAGCCUGAACCAGCCAAGUAGCGUGCAGGAUGACUGCCCUAUGGGUUGUAAACUGCUUUUAUAGGGGAAUAAAGUCCACUACGUGUAGUGGUUUGUAUGUACCCUAUGAAUAAGGACCGGCUAAUUCCGUGCCAGCAGCAGC